UUCCACCACUAUUGGUCUGCAGCUCUUCUUAUGGUAGCAGUUGUUGCAUUUCUCUGUGGGAAAGAAAAGAGGAUUAAACACCUCUUUCUUAGCAAAACAGAGAGUAGGCAUAUGUGUGACAGACACAA
This is a small nucleolar RNA of Cercocebus atys (sooty mangabey), 128 nucleotides long. The record is from Ensembl. Lineage: Eukaryota; Metazoa; Chordata; Mammalia; Primates; Cercopithecidae.